AUUGAACGCUGGCGGCAGGCCUAACACCUGCCAGUCGAACGAGUGGCGGACGUGUGAGUAAUGUCUGGGACACUGCCUGGUGGAGGGGGUUAACUACUGGAAACGGUCGCUAAUACCGCAUUCCCUCGCCUGUGCCCAGAUGGGAUUCGCUGGUAGGUGGGGUAAAGUCUCACCUAGGCGACGCUCCCUAGCUGGUCUGAGAGGAUGACCGGCCACACUGGAGCUGAGAAGCGGUCCAGACUCCUACGGGGGGCAGCAGUGGGGAAUAUUGCGCAGUGGGCGCGAGCCUGAUGCAGCCAUGCCGGGUGUAUGAUGAAGUCCUUAGGGUUGUAAGGUACUUUCGGCGGGGAGGCGUUACCCGCACACGAAGCACCGGCUAACUCCGUGCCAGCAGCCGCGGUAAUAC
This 406-nucleotide ribosomal RNA is filed under the name uncultured bacterium. Its description in RNAcentral is "partial 16S ribosomal RNA". It matches the Rfam family "Bacterial small subunit ribosomal RNA", at positions 30 to 526 of the family's 1533-position model. The record is from RNAcentral.